CCUACGGGCGGCAGCAGUGGGGGAUAUUGCACAAUGGGGGGAACACUGAUGCAGCGACGCCGCGUGGGUGAAGAAGCGCCUCGGCGCGUAAAGCCCUGUCAGCAGGGAAGAAAAUGACGGUACCUGACGAAGAAGCCCCGUCUCAAUACGUGCCAGCAGCCGCGGUAAUACGUAGGGGGCAAGCGUUAUCCGGAUUUACUGGGUGUAAAGGGGGCGCAGACGGCGGUGCAAGCCAGGAGGUAAAGCCCGGGGGCCAACCCCGGGACUGCUCUUGGAACUGCGUGGCUGGAGUGCAGGAGGGGCAGGCGGAAUUCCUGGUGUAGCGGUGAAAUGCGUAGAUAUCAGGAGGAACACCGGUGGCGAAGGCGGCCUGCUGGACUGCAACUGACGUUGAGGCCCGAAAGCGUGGGGAGCAAACAGGAUUAGAUACCCUUGUAGUC
RNAcentral lists this ribosomal RNA (440 nucleotides) under uncultured bacterium. Its description in RNAcentral is "partial 16S ribosomal RNA". It matches the Rfam family "Bacterial small subunit ribosomal RNA", at positions 338 to 795 of the family's 1533-position model. The record is from RNAcentral.